CCUGCGGAAGGAUCAUUACUGAGUGAGGGCCCUCUGGGUCCAACCUCCCACCCGUGUUUAUUGUACCUUGUUGCUUCGGUGCGCCCGCCUCACGGCCGCCGGGGGGCUUCUGCCCCCGGGUCCGCGCGCACCGGAGACACUAUUGAACUCUGUCUGAAGAUUGCAGUCUGAGCAUAAACUAAAUAAGUUAAAACUUUCAACAACGGAUCUCUUGGUUCCGGCAUCGAUGAAGAACGCAGCGAAAUGCGAUAACUAAUGUGAAUUGCAGAAUUCAGUGAAUCAUCGAGUCUUUGAACGCACAUUGCGCCCCCUGGUAUUCCGGGGGGCAUGCCUGUCCGAGCGUCAUUGCUGCCCUCAAGCACGGCUUGUGUGUUGGGCUCCGUCCCCCCGGGGACGGGUCCGAAAGGCAGCGGCGGCACCGAGUCCGGUCCUCGAGCGUAUGGGGCUUUGUCACCCGCUCUGUAGGCCCGGCCGGCGCCAGCCGACAACCAAUCAUCCUUUUUUCAGGUUGACCUCGGAUCAGGUAGGGAUACCCGCUGAACUUAAGCAUAUCAAUAAGCGGAGGA
RNAcentral lists this ribosomal RNA (566 nucleotides) under Penicillium glabrum. RNAcentral describes it as "eukaryotic LSU rRNA". The stretch from base 192 to 345 matches the Rfam family "5.8S ribosomal RNA". Lineage: Eukaryota; Fungi; Ascomycota; Eurotiomycetes; Eurotiales; Aspergillaceae. The record is from RNAcentral.